GUGCUCACUUCAGGAGCACAUAUACUAAAAUUGGAAUGAUAGAAAAGAUUAGCAUGGGGCUGAGGAUGUAGCUCAGUUGGUAGAGUGCUUGCCUCACUUGCACAAGGUCUUGGGUUCAAUCCCCAGCACCGCAAAAAAAAAAAAAAAAAACUAGCAUGGCCCCUAGGUAAGGAUGACACACAAAUUUGUGAAGCAUUCAUAUUUUAA
RNAcentral lists this small nuclear RNA (207 nucleotides) under Sciurus vulgaris (Eurasian red squirrel). The record is from RNAcentral. Lineage: Eukaryota; Metazoa; Chordata; Mammalia; Rodentia; Sciuridae.